Bombus huntii is the source of this 599-nucleotide long non-coding RNA. RefSeq lists it as uncharacterized. NCBI's taxonomy places the organism in Eukaryota, Metazoa, Arthropoda, Insecta, Hymenoptera, Apidae. The record is from RefSeq and is a predicted model, not a curated record. The transcript has 2 exons.
AAAAAAAGAAUUAAUCACAGUGAGGGAACCAGAAGGUUAUCAGUGUUUAGGAUUGAAAAAUAUCGGAAUAAACUACUCGAAUUGAGUCGACAAUUCUUCAGUAAGAUUAUCUGAAGGUAGUGUGUUACGAGUACGAGUCGUUGACUCGCCCCUAUCUUCCAAUAAUUACGAAUAAAAUUGUUUUGAUGCAUUUCCUUACAAUUUAUAUGCAUAUAAAAUUUUAUAUACGAUAUACUUAUCGUAAGUAAACCUCAUAAAAGUAAGCCUCGCGUCUUCUGCAGUCAAAUGAAACGUAAUCGCAAACUAUCUCACACUAUCUUGCGUAAUAAAUGUCUUACAAGGAAGAAUAUAUACCAAUGUUUGCCCGUAGUCGAGAUGAGGUGUUUUAUACGUAGGAAAACUGCCAAGUAGUCUCACUACUCCAAUAAUUGAGAACAAUAUUAAAAACAUGUGUUUUCUAAAUGAAACCAAUUUUAAUAUCAUACAUUUAAUAUCGAAUAUUACAAUAUUUUCUAUAUAAUAGUUUAGACGAACCAAAAUCUGUUUUUAUACAACAUUCUCUGAAAUAAACUAUUUACUUUCGAUUUAUUAUAAUUAUA